This 31-nucleotide non-coding RNA is filed under the name Homo sapiens (human). The record is from RNAcentral. Lineage: Eukaryota; Metazoa; Chordata; Mammalia; Primates; Hominidae.
UGUUUACUCGAGCUCCUGUGCUCGGUGUGGU